This 438-nucleotide long non-coding RNA is filed under the name Bos taurus (domestic cattle). Its description in RNAcentral is "long non-coding RNA NONBTAT016561". The record is from RNAcentral. Lineage: Eukaryota; Metazoa; Chordata; Mammalia; Artiodactyla; Bovidae.
CACAGAACACACCUGGCUCCAAGGUUCCAGUGAAAUAUUUCUCUCUGCCCAGAGUUAAUGUUGCAGGUCUCAGCCCCACUGUCCUUUUCAUCUGAUACUUUUUCCCCCCUCACCUCCUUACUUUAUGACAUGAUGGCUAAUUCAUCCUGGAAGUAAAGAAAUGUAAGUUAAAACCUCAAAACACCAUUUUGAAUUAUAGUUUUAGUCGGGACAGGACUACAGUGAAGGGCUGUUUGUAAGAGUCACUGGAAACAAGCGGGAUCUUUAUAGCAGGCCCCAAGUGGUAACCGCUUUUGUCAUUUGCUCUGGAAUUGGGGGCAGUGACGACAGAGAAAGUUUUGUGGUGAAAUCAGCUGGCCCCAGAGACAUCUGAUCUGUGCUUCUCUGUGAAGCCCAAUUAUUCGGAACCUUUGUUGGGAAUGAAGGGACUAUUGAAAG